CGUGCUGGGCCCAUAACCCAGAGGUCGAUGGA
Molecule: non-coding RNA, 32 nt
Filed under: Callithrix jacchus (white-tufted-ear marmoset)
Lineage: Eukaryota; Metazoa; Chordata; Mammalia; Primates; Cebidae
Also listed under: 3 other names
Source: RNAcentral